RNAcentral lists this unclassified non-coding RNA (211 nucleotides) under Melitaea cinxia (Glanville fritillary). RNAcentral describes it as "misc RNA ENSMCXG00005004918.1". The record is from RNAcentral. Lineage: Eukaryota; Metazoa; Arthropoda; Insecta; Lepidoptera; Nymphalidae.
AAACAAUCUUUAUUCAAACGCCAUGGGUAACAAAACUUUUUCUAUUCUUUUUGCUGUAUUAGCAGUUUUUGUAGUGAUGCAGUAUGUGUUGUGUGAUAAAAAUAAUAUUCCGUCUGAGCACCUGGAUGCAGACCCAGCAAUCAGUGCGAACAGCGCCGUGCUAAGCUCUCCAGCAAGAAAUCGCCUCUGCCUCGUCGCCGCAUGUUACCAC